UUAGAGUUUUGGAUCUGGCUCAGAUUGAACGCUGGCGGCAGGCUUAACACAUGCAAGUCGAGCGGGGAGAUGUAGCUUGCUACAUUACCUAGCGGCGGACGGGUGAGUAAUGCUUAGGAAUCUGCCUAUUAGUGGGGGACAACAUUCCGAAAGGAAUGCUAAUACCGCAUACGCCCUACGGGGGAAAGCAGGGGAUCUUCGGACCUUGCGCUAAUAGAUGAGCCUAAGUCAGAUUAGCUAGUUGGUGGGGUAAAGGCCUACCAAGGCGACGAUCUGUAGCGGGUCUGAGAGGAUGAUCCGCCACACUGGGACUGAGACACGGCCCAGACUCCUACGGGAGGCAGCAGUGGGGAAUAUUGGACAAUGGGCGAAAGCCUGAUCCAGCCAUGCCGCGUGUGUGAAGAAGGCCUUUUGGUUGUAAAGCACUUUAAGCGAGGAGGAGGCUACUUGGAUUAAUACUCUAGGAUAGUGGACGUUACUCGCAGAAUAAGCACCGGCUAACUC
Molecule: ribosomal RNA, 504 nt
Filed under: uncultured Acinetobacter sp.
Lineage: Bacteria; Pseudomonadati; Pseudomonadota; Gammaproteobacteria; Moraxellales; Moraxellaceae
Description: bacterial SSU rRNA
Rfam family: Bacterial small subunit ribosomal RNA
Source: RNAcentral